GAGACUAGACUUUCUUUCAAGAUCAAGAAUCAAUCUCGUAAGUCCAAGAUUUCCAAAGAACAAAUCAAGAUUCAAGUUCUACUCUUCAAACCUUAUAAUCUAAGCGACGUAGGAUUUUCCUAAAUCUACAUAGGAUCUGAGGCACAGUGUCGGGGUCCAGUUCAGCAACAGGUUUGAGUGCGUCGGAAAUUGCAAUUGGUGAGCCUCCCUUACAUUGGAAGGCCUAUAUUAGAACUUGUUAUUGUUAUUUCAUUUUGAUUCAUGGCCCGACUGGGGGCUUAUCCCAAAUGUUAGACAAAUGUCAUUUUCAGUUGUUAGAGAUUUCGCAGACUGAUGUUAGACGUUGUUUAGAGGUUUAUAUUUUCCAUUCCAGAUUGUUCGAUUGAAUUA
Capsicum annuum is the source of this 390-nucleotide long non-coding RNA. RefSeq lists it as uncharacterized. The record is from RefSeq and is a predicted model, not a curated record. NCBI's taxonomy places the organism in Eukaryota, Viridiplantae, Streptophyta, Magnoliopsida, Solanales, Solanaceae. The transcript has 2 exons.